Molecule: unclassified non-coding RNA, 200 nt
Filed under: soil metagenome
Description: partial contains internal transcribed spacer 2 and large subunit ribosomal RNA
Source: RNAcentral
UUCGAGCGUCAUUACAACCCUCACGCCCAGCGUGGUAUUGGACUCGCCCUGUAGGGCUUGUCUCAAAGUCAGUGGCGGCACCGUUUGACCCCUAAGCGUAGUAAUACUCGUCGCUUCUGGUGUCCGACGGAGGCCUGCCAGCAACCCCCAAUUUUUACAAGGUUGACCUCGAAUCAGGUAGGGAUACCCGCUGAACUUAA